Bombyx mori (domestic silkworm) is the source of this 4716-nucleotide RNA transcript. It is a transcript of the gene named cAMP-dependent protein kinase R2, with no coding region annotated. Lineage: Eukaryota; Metazoa; Arthropoda; Insecta; Lepidoptera; Bombycidae. The record is from RefSeq and is marked provisional. The transcript has 8 exons.
AUUGUAUUUUAAAUUCCAGUGUAAGACAUAAAAUAUUCAUUUUGGCAAAUUAAAUAUUUUAUUUCAUUAAAAUACAAUUUUUUUACAAAUUUUGCUGAACAAAAAGUGUUUUCUAGAAACAUAGAGAUAAACUAACAAAGAUUUAAAGACUGAUCAAUAUUUACGUAAAUUGUCUAUGUAUUUUUUUGUCUAGCAAGAAUCUCACGGGAUGAAGUAGGUAAAGUGGAGUGUGGACUGUAGGGCAAUCAAAAUUCGCCAUUUUUACUUUAGUGAAGGGAGGUUUAUAAAAUUGUCAGGCUGGAGGACGAAGAAUAUUUUGUAAAAAGUGUGUCUUUAGAUUUAAUUUUUAGUAGCGGAAACUAUUAUUUGAAAAAGUUUUAGUAUAAUAGUGUGGUUUUAUUUAUUACUAACGUUUGUAUGUAGUGCUACUUCCCCAUCGUAAAUUUGCUCGUUGGUGUUUCGCUUUAGCUAAUUCGAUGGCUAUGAUAUCCAAGUUUUAAUCAUAACGCGUCGCUCGACAAUUUCCACUCGGGUAAUAUCGAGAAAGUGAGGCGACGCCUUUAGAAAUGAGCAGGCCUCAGGGCGGACGCAUUCAAGUCCCGGAUGACCUUAGAGAGAUCUUAUUGGAGUUUACUAUAAGUUAUCUGCUGGAGCAGCCUGGGGACGUGAUCAACUACGCGGUCGAGUUCUUCACAAGGUUACAAAACAACAGGACGACGACCAUCGUACGGGGUCCUGUCGCCGGCACACCUGAUGAGUCCAUAAUAUCAGACGAAGAAGAGCCGCCAGUGGCGCGCUUUAACAAUCGGCGCAAAUCCGUUUUCGCCGAGACUUAUGACCCCGAAGAGGAUGAUUCUGACGAAGGAGCCCCUGCCGUGUUCCCCAAGUCGGACGCACAGAGAGCCCGUCUCGCUGAGGCGGUCCGGGGCAUACUGCUGUUCCGUUCUCUUGACGCGCAGCAAAUGCAGCAGGUUCUGGAUGCGAUGUUCGAAAAGAGAUCCGAGCCCGGCGAGUACGUAAUCAGACAGGGCGAUGACGGCGACAACUUCUACGUCAUCGAGAACGGCGUUUUCGACGUCCUGGUCACCGGAGACGACCGCGUCGAAAAGGUGGUCCACACAUACGAAGGUUCCGGUUCGUUUGGCGAACUGGCCCUGAUGUACAACAUGCCGCGGGCGGCAUCUGUACGGGCCCAGACCGCCGGCGCUCUGUGGGCCAUGGACCGCCACACGUUCCGUCGCAUCCUGCUCAAGAGCGCAUUCAAGAAACGCAAGCUGUACGAGGAGCUCCUCGACAAAGUGCCGAUGCUGAAGGCGCUGCAGCCGUACGAGCGCGCUAAUUUGGCCGAUGCCCUGCUGCCCCGGACUCUGGUGGAAGGCGAGCUGAUCAUCCGUCAGGGGGACACGGCCGACGGCAUGUAUUUCGUCGAGGAUGGCUCCGUCAGCAUCCGGAUCACGCGCGACGACGGCAACGAGCACGAAAUCAAACGUCUCGGCAAAGGUGAUUACUUCGGAGAGCUGGCCUUGGUCACCCACAAGCCGCGUGCCGCUUCUGUUUACGCUAUUGGCGCUACCAAGGUGGCGUUCUUGGACGUCGAGACGUUUGAGCGCCUCCUCGGUCCGUGCAUGGAGAUCAUGAAGCGCAACAUCGACGACUACGAGGAGCAGCUCGUCAAGUUGUUUGGGGACAAGAGCAACCUCACCGACGUGCGAUGAACGGCCGACGCGCGAACACGCAACCUCCUAUCUUCCACGCAACGUAAAUCUUCCCGCCUUCACACACACAGCCCCCCCGCCAACGCGCAACGACUAAAUCGGGAUAUACCGUCUUUUCGCAUUAAAAGAUUUCCAAUUUAAUAUUCGAAAUUGAGUUAAUAUAUUUAACGGUAGGCAGCAGCUUGGGCAAGGGCAAUAAAAAAAAUGCGGAAUCAUUUGGUAUCGCCAGUAUUUUUCUAAUAAAUACUGUCAAAAGAGCGUAGUUUAGUUUUAGUUUUUUUUUUUUGUUUUUUUUACCUAUGUUUUGACUACUUACUAUUAACAAAAUUAAAACAAUUUUAUCUUACUUUAAAAAAAAUUAAAAAAAAAUGUUGCAGAGAUUAAAUAUUAAAAAUAUCACAUAUUAAACUUUUAAAACACUCCUGUAAAAUUAGUAAGUUUCGAGAUUAUACAGUUUUAAUGCGAGAAGACGAUAUGUGCUCUUUGAUAACUUAACGUUCUAGAAGUUUCCUAUUCCGACUUGCCUUUCAAAUGAGGCCGCGAAAGUCUUAAUGUUAUUUGAUAAUUCUAGAAGUUUCGUCUCCAUCCGUCAUUCGAAUGAAGCCGUGAGAGUCUAACUAAACAAUAGCUUACAGUAUGUAGGUAACAGCGGUUUUCACAAUUUAAUCAGUGAUGAAUAUAAUAAAAAUUAGCCUCAGAUUUUUUAAUAUUCUCGUGCGUCACCUAUUGUUUCCAAUAAAUAUUUAAAGCAUUACUGAAACAGUUGAUGUAAACAUAAAAAAGAAACGGUUUUAUAUACCUACCCAACAAGUUAAUAACAGGUCGUUUUUCUCGAAAUGUAUUGCAAAAAAUUGGGGUCAUUUGUCCGCUAAAAUGAUUUUUGGCAUCGCAAAAAUUUACAUCUACAGCUUUUUUUUAUAAAAUGCGGAUAUUCUUGACUUUAAUUGACAUAUAUACCGAUUUAGUCGUUGCAUACAUAUACAUAUAUGUAUAUUGUUUUGUUCAAUUAAUGAUCAGACAAUACGGUGUACGAUAUAAAAUGUUUUCAAAUCGCGAACAGUAACACUUAUGGUUUCAUGAAUAUAAGUGAUAAAUACAAAUAAAAAAAUUGACAUGAAAGUUUUAAGGGAAAUGUUAAUAAUUACAAAUGUUGUCUACACUAUAAAGCAACAAGUUUACAGUGCACCGUAUUGUUCGAUUGUGAAUUUUAAAUAAGUUUUGCUGUUUCGAAAAUAUGUCGUUUUUAAUAAAAGAUAUAAGAUUAAGGUUUUGGUUUGUUAAUUGAGUUUACACAAUUUAUCAUAUCGAGACAGCAUAAGCUUAAUAAUCCCUUAAAAUGGCGUGUGAGUCAGCGAGCGACCGGUGCGGUCCCGACACGCAAACAAAAACUUAUGCUUACAAUAAACAUACUAAAAAUAUUAUUAUUAUCGAAACAGUAACGCAUGUUCUUUGGGCGUGCCUACCGCAUAACUCAACCGCUUGGCGUACACGAGAUUAUCGACUUAUUUGCUCAUUAAUAAAAUAUAAAGAUCGUUUCGAAAUCAGUUCCACGAUUUGUCGUUUGAUCUCAAAUUUAAAAAAAAACCAUCGAAAAAAAUUAUAUAUAUAUAUUAUAUAUACCUACAUUAUUAUUUCAAACGGAUUAAGUUUUACUGAUAUAGUAAAAUUGCUGUGGCAUAACACAUGUGACAUAAUCGCGGAUCGAAUUCAAAUGGCUACUUAUUUAUUUGACAGAGAAAACACAUUGUCGUUGGUCGAACGUCGCGCGCUAUUGUAAUGAAUCUACGCUUAUUUUAGAUAGAAAACGUUAGAUAUUUAUAUAUUUGUAAGUCGCACGGACAUAGACGGACUGCGUAUGAAACGAAAUAACAAAGGAUGUGCUCAUUCUAGGUGCCAUAUACAUGAAUACAUGCAAGUCACAAUCGUUUAGUUAAUAGAGUCGUAACAGUUAUCGGAUUUAUCGAUAUUUCGUUUAGUACGAUGCCUUGGGAAUGUCGGAAGUUUACUUAAUGGAAGAGUAAGGGUAAAGAGCGCUAGUUGUAAUAUCAUAAAAUAUAUAUCGAUAUAUAUACAGAACGAUAAUGUGCGACGUUCAACUUUAUUUCUAAUAACCGCGAACUCUAUUAUAGAAAUUCGAUACAUUUAAUUGACGCAGGCUUAUAUCGAGCCAAAUAUGUACACAUACAAAAUAUUUAUUUAUUUGUCUUAGGUAAAGUGUGUAGUUAAUUUUAGUGAUUAGAUUAAAUCUUUUCACGGUACAUGUUUUGUUUUUAUAGUUAUUUUAAUAUUAACCCUGACGAUUUCUUACGAUGUAUGUUGUUUACCGAGUGCUGCCAUGCUAAUGUCGUUUUGAAUUUAUUAAUGGUGUUUUGUUGACUAAUUAUUGUAAACACAUGCCGGAGCACAUAACAUACUUUGAUUAAUGAGAAAACGUAUUUGUUAUUAUUAAAAACAUCAUGUAUUUUAUAGAUUAUUUUAUUUCGCAUAGUAUUUCUAAUAUUUUGUUGUUGGUAUUAAUUUUGUUAUCGACAAGGAAUUGUUUUGUGUUAUCAUUGAAUUUUUUUAUUUUUAUUUAAUUUAUAUUUUUAUUGGUUCUUCUUCUGUUGUAGAGAGUGUUCCUAUUGUUUUGUUUGCUCUUUGACAAUAUGAAAAGUUAGAUCUGAGGUUUGUCAAACACCGGAAACACCGCUGUGACCGACACACGGCUCAACCGUCGAAUACGUUAAGGCGAUGACGUCAACUUUAUGACAUCCCUAACAAUGUUUUGGAGCGAAAGAACUUUGCAUGGCGCCUACAACCGUCAGGUGAGGGGCGCCACGUGUUCACCGCCGUAAUGUCUGUGUGUCCCCAUUUCAUUGAACCCAGUAGUUAUUAGUAUUGUGCAAUAAUAAUAAUUAUAAUAAUAAUAAAAUAUUAUUACUGUCUAUGUAUGUAGUUUGCAGUAUCAAAUAUUUAAAAUUGUAUUUGUGGAAGUAUUAAAGGUAAUUUAAAAAAAAGUAAA